AGUCGUACGGUAACAGCCAAGCAGCUUGCUUCUUUGCUGACGAGUGGCGGACGGGUGAGUAAUGUCUGGGAAACUGCCUGAUGGAGGGGGAUAACUACUGGAAACGGUAGCUAAUACCGCAUAACGUCGCAAGACCAAAGAGGGGGACCUUCGGGCCUCUUGCCAUCGGAUGUGCCCAGAUGGGAUUAGCUAGUAGGUGGGGUAACGGCUCACCUAGGCGACGAUCCCUAGCUGGUCUGAGAGGAUGACCAGCCACACUGGAACUGAGACACGGUCCAGACUCCUACGGGAGGCAGCAGUGGGGAAUAUUGCACAAUGGGCGCAAGCCUGAUGCAGCCAUGCCGCGUGUAUGAAGAAGGCCUUCGGGUUGUAAAGUACUUUCAGCGGGGAGGAAGGGAGUAAAGUUAAUACCUUUGCUCAUUGACGUUACCCGCAGAAGAAGCACCGGCUAACUCCGUGCCAGCAGCCGCGGUAAUACGGAGGGUGCAAGCGUUAAUCGGAAUUACUGGGCGUAAAGCGCACGCAGGCGGUUUGUUAAGUCAGAUGUGAAAUCCCCGGGCUCAACCUGGGAACUGCAUCUGAUACUGGCAAGCUUGAGUCUCGUAGAGGGGGGUAGAAUUCCAGGUGUAGCGGUGAAAUGCGUAGAGAUCUGGAGGAAUACCGGUGGCGAAGGCGGCCCCCUGGACGAAGACUGACGCUCAGGUGCGAAAGCGUGGGGAGCAAACAGGGAUUAGAUACCCUGGUAGUCCACGCCGUAAACGAUGUCGACUUGGAGGUUGUGCCCUUGAGGCGUGGCUUCCGGAGCUAACGCGUUAAGUCGACCGCCUGGGGAGUACGGCCGCAAGGUUAAAACUCAAAUGAAUUGACGGGGGCCCGCACAAGCGGUGGAGCAUGUGGUUUAAUUCGAUGCAACGCGAAGAACCUUACCUGGUCUUGACAUCCACGGAAGUUUUCAGAGAUGAGAAUGUGCCUUCGGGAACCGUGAGACAGGUGCUGCAUGGCUGUCGUCAGCUCGUGUUGUGAAAUGUUGGGUUAAGUCCCGCAACGAGCGCAACCCUUAUCCUUUGUUGCCAGCGGUCCGGCCGGGAACUCAAAGGAGACUGCCAGUGAUAAACUGGAGGAAGGUGGGGAUGACGUCAAGUCAUCAUGGCCCUUACGACCAGGGCUACACACGUGCUACAAUGGCGCAUACAAAGAGAAGCGACCUCGCGAGAGCAAGCGGACCUCAUAAAGUGCGUCGUAGUCCGGAUUGGAGUCUGCAACUCGACUCCAUGAAGUCGGAAUCGCUAGUAAUCGUGGAUCAGAAUGCCACGGUGAAUACGUUCCCGGGCCUUGUACACACCGCCCGUCACACCAUGGGAGUGGGUUGCAAAAGAAGUAGGUAGC
This 1386-nucleotide ribosomal RNA is filed under the name uncultured bacterium. RNAcentral describes it as "16S ribosomal RNA". It matches the Rfam family "Bacterial small subunit ribosomal RNA", at positions 60 to 1434 of the family's 1533-position model. The record is from RNAcentral.